GUAAGAUUAGUUAGUUGGUGAGGUAACGGCUCACCAAGACGAUGAUCUUUAGGGGGCCUGAGAGGGUGAACCCCCACACUGGUACUGAGACACGGACCAGACUCCUACGGGAGGCAGCAGUGAGGAAUAUUGGACAAUGGGUGGAAGCCUGAUCCAGCCAUCCCGCGUGUAGGAUGACGGCCUUAUGGGUUGUAAACUACUUUUAUCUGGGGAUAAACCUACUUACGUGUAAGUAGCUGAAGGUACCAGAUAGAAUAAGCACCGGCUAACUCCGUGCCAGCAGCCGCGGUAAUACGGAGGGUGCAAGCGUUAUCCGGAUUUAUUGGGUUUAAAGGGUCCGUAGGCGGAUUAAUCAGUCAGCGGUGAAAUCUCAUAGCUUAACUAUGAAACUGCCAUUGAUACUGUUAGUCUUGAGUGAUGUUGAAGUUGCUGGAAUGUGUAGUGUAGCGGUGAAAUGCUUAGAUAUUACGCUAGAACACCAAUUGCGAAGGCAGGUGACUAA
This 502-nucleotide ribosomal RNA is filed under the name uncultured Bacteroidota bacterium. RNAcentral's name for it is "bacterial SSU rRNA". It matches the Rfam family "Bacterial small subunit ribosomal RNA", at positions 235 to 732 of the family's 1533-position model. Lineage: Bacteria; Pseudomonadati; Bacteroidota. The record is from RNAcentral.